RNAcentral lists this long non-coding RNA (239 nucleotides) under Gossypium barbadense (sea-island cotton). RNAcentral's name for it is "long non-coding RNA (GBAR_LNC023579)". The record is from RNAcentral. Lineage: Eukaryota; Viridiplantae; Streptophyta; Magnoliopsida; Malvales; Malvaceae.
UUUGCAUAUUAACACAAUUUAAUAACAAGCAAUCAGUUAUAAAUAACCCAUUUUAAUUCUAUUUCUACUUGGCUAACUCAAUUCAUUUAUACAUAUUUAAUAACUUAUAAAUAUCUAACGAAUUUAUAUUGCCAUGCACAUAUACAUAUCAACCAUAUUAUAAGCACAUAUAUUUAUACAUGUAAAACAUUUUAAAACCCAACUAACAUAACAUAACCAUUUAACAAGUACACAUAUGU